This 149-nucleotide ribosomal RNA is filed under the name Proboscia alata. Its description in RNAcentral is "partial Eukaryotic small subunit ribosomal RNA". Lineage: Eukaryota; Bacillariophyta; Melosirophyceae; Probosciales; Probosciaceae. The record is from RNAcentral.
UAAAAACUGUUGAAUUACACAAAGGUGUAAAACAAGUGAACAAACAUGUGACCAUACUUGCGAUUUCCCCCUUCCUUCCUUCUGCCGAAAACGUUUUCAAUACAACUAGGUAACACAUUAGACUAACAUGCAUGAUAUGAUAAAACUAU